GCAGUCGUGGCUGAGUGGUUAGGGCGAUGGACUUGAAAUCCGUUGGGGAUACCCUCGCACAGGUUCGAAUACUGUCGACUGCG
Non-coding RNA from Ornithodoros turicata, 83 nucleotides. The record is from the annotation of a RefSeq genome assembly. Lineage: Eukaryota; Metazoa; Arthropoda; Arachnida; Ixodida; Argasidae.